GAUGAACGCUGGCGGCGUGCUUAACACAUGCAAGUCGAACGGGAAACCUUUUAUUGAAGCUUCGGCAGAUUUAGCUGGUUUCUAGUGGCGGACGGGUGAGUAACGCGUGGGUAACCUGCCUUAUACAGGGGGAUAACAGUCAGAAAUGACUGCUAAUACCGCAUAAGCGCACAGAGCUGCAUGGCUCGGUGUGAAAAACUCCGGUGGUAUAAGAUGGACCCGCGUUGGAUUAGCUGGUUGGUGAGGUAACGGCCCACCAAGGCGACGAUCCAUAGCCGGCCUGAGAGGGUGAACGGCCACAUUGGGACUGAGACACGGCCCAGACUCCUACGGGAGGCAGCAGUGGGGAAUAUUGCACAAUGGGGGAAACCCUGAUGCAGCGACGCCGCGUGAAGGAAGAAGUAUCUCGGUAUGUAAACUUCUAUCAGCAGGGAAGAA
Molecule: ribosomal RNA, 438 nt
Filed under: uncultured bacterium
Lineage: Bacteria
Description: bacterial SSU rRNA
Rfam family: Bacterial small subunit ribosomal RNA
Source: RNAcentral